GAGCCAUUUGGCAGUAAAUGCAACUUAUGACUGAGUUCUGAAAACAUAGUCUUCCUUGAGCUGAAACGCUGAUUCCAUGAGGCUAUUUUGGCAUACAAGGAUCUGCUCCCGGACAGGACAACUCUCCUUUGGAGACUGAUGGAAAUUGAUAUCACCAGGAAAAGUGGUAAUAUAAAAAGCUACUACCACUUCCAUUGUGUCUCCAAUAAGGGCAAAUGAUACAAGCAGAACUCAGCAGCUGGAGUCACCACAGGACCUGAUUGAUGGCUGCAGGACCCAGAUGGCAGAAACCCGAAAAAUGUUUCUGGCAAAUACCUCUACACGCUGGAUGUGUGUGUGUGUGUGUGUGUGUGUGUGU
Manis javanica (Malayan pangolin) is the source of this 358-nucleotide non-coding RNA. The record is from RefSeq and is a predicted model, not a curated record. NCBI's taxonomy places the organism in Eukaryota, Metazoa, Chordata, Mammalia, Pholidota, Manidae.